AUGUUGCGUGAGUUGGUGUUCCCUGUCCACUUCGAUCGGCUAAAUACAGUUUCCUGCCCCCAUAAUAGUAGUUGGUCCAAUGGCUACAAUGCGUCGGUGAUGGGAUUUGGUGGACGCGGAAUGACUCCCAUCGACGGCAGUCGCCUGCUACAGUUCAUUCAGUUAGACCUUGUCAGCCGGCAUCUCAAGCUAUCCUCCAGCAUCCAUUCUGGUCAAAGUCGAUGGGCUGACGGAUGGAGACCCAGGGGCAGUGGGGAAGGCUCCGGCGAUGCGUGGCGCCGAAGCGAAUUAAGCUCGCUCGGUCGCGUGACGCACCAUCGGGACGGGGAUAGAACAUGGAAGACAUUAUUCAUACUGAGGGACAUCGACACCGCUACAUAUCCCAACCAAGACGCUGAAACUAACAAGAACGAACCCGAGGUCCCUCCCGCUGGCGAGAGGCCGAGGUCCUUCUGCACUCACAUGUCCCAAAGAUCAUCAGAGAUGGGAUGGACGGCGGUGGCGCCGACGGGAGGAGGAAAGCCUAAGCUCGUUCCCGGCGGCGAGUCCUCCCUCUCUCUUCCCUGGCGGUUCUCCGGCGUUGUUGCCGGCUGCGAUUCUCAGCGGCGCACGGGCGGAGGCAGAGGCAGAGGCUCGGAGCCGGAGGCUCGCGCGCGUCACGCGGCAGUCGGAUCUCGAUGCCGUGACCUUGUCGACGACACCGAGAAGAGGAACCCACGCACGCCGUGGUGGUACCGCGAUUCCGGUGGGACAGAGCUGCCGGAGGUGCUCGUGCGGGCCGUUUGCAUCCACCCCCUCGACAUGUGGUGGUGGACGGUGGAUAGGUCUCGCCGACGGCAUCCCGAUGUCGACGGUGGUGUAACACGGCGAAGGAGCUCGUGUGGGUGGAUGCUCCGGCGGCGUGCCCGGAGACAGCGGGCGGAGGAGCUCGUGUGUGCCUGCCCUGACGGAGAGGAGCGGAAGAUGCUCCUGGAGUGGGAGCACAGCGCUCUCAAGCGCUCGUGCUCCGGGGGCUCCGGCGACAAAAAAGACCAACUCCCAGCUGUGAGGGUCAAACUGGAACAUGAUCCCUUGGAUAUGUUGGUGAAGGCCUUCGAGAUGAGCGGGCGGUUAUGCCUUGCCGUAAAAGUGCCCGGCUUCCCUCCGACUCUUCAGUUAUGGGUUAUGUCUCUGCCACCGCAGGACCAGUGGGCCGACAGUGACGACAAAAAGUUGUGCUGGGAUUUGCACUACAGCUUCACCGCAUACUACACCAACAAUAAUGUACCGACUAGCGUUUGGUUUGACAAUGGCGAGAAGACGUUGUGCGUCAGGCAAGAGGAUGUCUUGUUCAAGCAUGGCAUGAGAGGACGCUCGCCGGAGCCGUCUCGAUAUUCUUAUUGUCCAGAAUGCGACCAGCGACUCGAGCUGCCGCCAACACCGUCGAACUACAUAUGGAACAUUUUGAGGGGCUAUCGCCCCAGCUUGCUCUCACCUCUCUCCUUGGUGACGUCACCAUCAGUUUCAAGAUUAGCUCGUGGAACUCUUAGGUUGCGUGAGUUGGUGUUCGCUGUCCACUUCGAUCAGAUAAAUACAGUUUCCUUCCUGCAAUGCACCGCGUCUGUGAUGGGAUUUCUGAAAUGCUCGCUCUCUCUACACGACGCCGAAGCACUCCCAUGGACCUUGUCAGGCCGCAUCUACCCACAGCCUCCAUUCAGGUCAAAGUCGAUGGGCGAAAGGGUGGAGAGGUACAGGCCGGGGGGGAAGGCUCCGGCGCCCCACUUAGCAGUAGCCCGCCCGCGCGUCGACUGGAGCUGCAGCUGCACCCGGCUAGCUUGUGAUGGUCGCAGCCUCCGGGACAACAAGUCUGCGUCAUGCGGAGUGGGCGCGUCCGGCCUCCGGCCUCCGGGACACACGACACGCGCAGCUAACCUGGCGCCGGCGGGCGGUUGGCGUACUUUGGUUGCGCCUGACUGCUCUGCCCGGCAAAGGAAGCGAUCAUGUUUACCACGCCGGUAUCGACACAUGAUCGAUCUACUGCCUAGUAGCUACACAGAUAUAUCUAUAUGCUACUGCCUCGAUCGAUCAUGCGGGUGCAACACACUCAUCAUUUGCGUGGCCAUCCAUGCACAUUCACCCUACUUGGCUACUUACCGCCUCGAUCCACCGAAGACCAGUACUGACCAAAUUUGGCGAGAUCCGACAGAGACACACCUCACACGACCUCGAAUGACACUAGACGCGCCAUCAGGACGGGGAUGGAACAUGGGAGGGAUUAUUCUUACUGAGGGACAUUGCCACUGCCACACAGUCCCAACCAAGACGCUGAAACUAACAAGAACGAAAGUGAGGUCCCUCCGGAUGGCGAGAGUCCGAGGACCUCAACACCUACAUGGCCCAAAGGCCAUCGGAGAUGGAGUGGACCAGCGGCGGUGUCGCACACUAUGUAAUCACAUAUAA
Molecule: ribosomal RNA, 2439 nt
Filed under: Triticum aestivum (bread wheat)
Lineage: Eukaryota; Viridiplantae; Streptophyta; Magnoliopsida; Poales; Poaceae
Description: partial small subunit ribosomal RNA
Source: RNAcentral